This 876-nucleotide ribosomal RNA is filed under the name uncultured archaeon. RNAcentral describes it as "bacterial SSU rRNA". It matches the Rfam family "Archaeal small subunit ribosomal RNA", at positions 21 to 903 of the family's 1478-position model. The record is from RNAcentral.
AGCUACCGCUAUUGGAGUUCGAUUAAGCCAUGCGAGUCGAGAGUCUUAGGGACUCGGCGUACCGCUCAGUAACACGUGGGUAACCUGCCCUAUGCUGGGGAAUAACCUCGGGAAACUGAGAAUAAUGCCCCAUAGUCCACCAUGCCUGGAACGGUUGGUGGAUCAAAGCCCCGGCGGCAUAGGAUGGGCCUGCGGCGUAUCAGGUUGUAGGGGGUGUAACGUACCCUCUAGCCAUCAACGCGUACGGGUGUUGGGAGACAUAGCCCGGAGAUGGAUUCUGAGACACGAAUCCAGACCCUACGGGGUGCAGCAGGCGCGAAGACUUGGCAAUGCGAGAAAUCGUGACCAGGGAACUCCAAGUGGCUGGGGUAAGACCCAGUCUUUUCUUGACUCUUCAAAGGUCUUGGAAUAAGGGGUGGGUAAGGACGGUGCCAGCCGCCGCGGUAAUACCGGCGCCUCAAGUGGUAGUCGAUUUUAUUGGGUCUAAAACGUCCGUCGCCUGUUUGGUACAUUCGUGGGUAAAUCAACCAGCUCAACUGGUUGAAUUCUGCGAGCACGGCCAGACUUGGGACCGGGAGAGGUGUGGGGUACGUUCAGGGUAGGGGUAAAAUCCUGUCAUCCUAAACGGACCACCUGUUGCGAAGGCUCCACACUAGAACGGAUCCGACGGUCAGGGACGAAGCCUAGGGGCACGAACCGGAUUAGAUACCCGGGUAGUCCUAGGUGUAAACGCUGUGGACUUGGUGUUGGGGACUCUCCGAGACUCCUCAGUGCCGAAGCGAAGGUGAUAAGUCCACUGCCUGGGGAGUACGGUCGCAAGGCUGAAACUUAAAGGAAUUGGCGGGGGAGCACCGCAACCUGAGGAUUGUGCGGUUU